Long non-coding RNA from Strigops habroptila (Kakapo), 1019 nucleotides. RefSeq lists it as uncharacterized. NCBI's taxonomy places the organism in Eukaryota, Metazoa, Chordata, Aves, Psittaciformes, Psittacidae. The transcript has 3 exons. The record is from RefSeq and is a predicted model, not a curated record.
CAUUUACACAUUGUGACCAUAGAGUUACAACUGACAGCCUUUAAGUAAAAGCCUUGAAGUAAAGCAGAAUACAUAACAUUGUAUUACCAAAAGCUAAACUACAGAACAUGAUUUGAGAGAUACAUCAUAGUAAUUUAGCAUUUAGUCCAAGAAACAAAUGACAAACCAUCAUCUAACUUCUCUAAGAUAUGCAGUCACCAGUAGAGUUACAAUAAUCAAGUCUUGCUGUUUCAGCCCCAAAUUUUUCUUAAAUUUGUGAUUGCAUUCACUUUUUCUCAUAUUUUAAAUAGUAACUGUUUAGGGGCUGAUGUUAAAACAUAUAAAACAUAUAAAGUCCCGUUGACUUCCGUAACAUUUAUACAGAAUAGGGUAAAUAGGAAUAAAAAUAAUAUGAAAGAAUCCAAGGCUCUAGACAAGAAUCUACAUUUGAAAUGGAUCCAAAAUUAUCAGGUUUGAGACAUGAUCCAGUGAGGGUCAGGAAGGAAAGUCCUGAGGGAAGAUUUUCAUGACCAUCUACUGUUAUCUAUUACAUAGGGUUUGUUUGUUCCACAGCUUAUUCUGAAAUAUCUUGUGGAAGCCAUUAUAAGAGACACUGUUUUAGAUAGCAUAUAUUCAUAUUUCUUAUCAGGGGAAAAUGGACUUACUCUUUACUUGUUUCAUUUACUGUAAAAAAUUAUGUUUUAUCUGAUUUAGGAAUAAACCACUACGGAUUAUUGCAGCACAUUGCAGAAAAAAUGCCUGUUGUAACAGGAGUGAUGUCCACUACAAAGGAUUUGGUCUACACCUAAUGCAGUAGUACCCAUUAAUUGCUGAAACGUGGCGUAUCAGUUAUCACUGCUAGCAGACUGCAGCAUACUCUGCAUGGAUAUCGUCAUAAAAUGAACUUUACAAUUCAGACUGUUGCAGAUAGCAAUGUAUGGAGCUCCCCUGCAGGCACCUCCUAACCCUCCUGGCUUCAGACCAGAUUGUACAACUUCCACUCCAGGCUUGUCAUUCUGGUGAAGGAUUUGAGCAAUGAC